Molecule: long non-coding RNA, 727 nt
Filed under: Homo sapiens (human)
Lineage: Eukaryota; Metazoa; Chordata; Mammalia; Primates; Hominidae
Description: HSALNT0095851
Source: RNAcentral
GAAAACAGCUAUUGCUUAUCAGAGGAGUUAGCGUUGUUUAUUUCAGGGCUUUGAGAGUUAACCUCUUUGUCUACCUAUAAGUUUUCAGGCUCUGAACAUUGCAGGUGAAGCUCCUGGUGAAACAGAGUGGAUUCAGCUGGGCUUUGCCAACCAGCUGCAGUUGGCUAGCAGGUUGAAGUGUUUGAAGAGCGUGCCUCAGCUCCCUCUGUGGACGCUGCACGAGUGAGCCCUCAGCUUUGCAGUUCUGCACCAGUUUCACUCCUACACGCAAUGUUGGAAAGGCCAUAAUACACAGUCAGUGUUGCUUUCUUUUCAGACUGCUUUGCUUUGCUGAGGCUUCCUUUCUCUAGUCCCCAGGUUGUGCUCCUUUUUGGACUACAGUUAUUUUGUUUUUGUGGAAUAUCUUUGGCUGUGGGACCUUCCUGAGUGACAUGUCCAGGAUUUAGUGUCUGGUGUCCUGGAGUGUUGUUCCAGAAUACAGGUGCAAGCCAAGUGAUCUUCAUCUCUAAGAUGCUCUGAAUGUGUGCGUGACUUGUCCCAUGUCAGCAAGGCACAGGCUGGUGUCCAGGAAUCUCAGCUGCCAGGUGGAUGCAUCUUCCUCUCUACCCUGUCCUGCACUUUUUUCUGCCAGGUGUGUUUUUUUUUGGUGGUGGUGGUGGGGGGUCUAUGUUAAUAACUGCUCAUUUAGACUUCAUGGAGAACAAAAUUUGGACAUAGAUGCGAUGGC